This 440-nucleotide ribosomal RNA is filed under the name uncultured bacterium. RNAcentral describes it as "partial 16S ribosomal RNA". It matches the Rfam family "Bacterial small subunit ribosomal RNA", at positions 338 to 795 of the family's 1533-position model. The record is from RNAcentral.
CCUACGGGAGGCAGCAGUGGGGAAUAUUGCACAAUGGGGGAAACCCUGAUGCAGCGACGCCGCGUGAGUGAUGAAGUAUCUCGGUACGUAAAGCUCUAUCAGCAGGGAAGAUAAUGACGGUAUCUGACCAAGAAGCCCCGGCUAACUACGUGCCAGCAGCCGCGGUAAUACGUAGGGGGCAAGCGUUAUCCGGAUUUACUGGGUGUAAAGGGAGCGUAGACGGCAGCACAAGUCUGGAGUGAAAUCCCGGGGCUUAACCCCGGAACUGCUUUGGAAACUGUGCGGCUAGAGUGCAGGAGGGGUAAGGGGAAUUCCUGGUGUAGGGGUGAAAUGCGUAGAGAUUAAGAGGAACACCGAGGGCGAAGGCGGCUUACUAGAAUGUAACUGACGUUGAGGCUCGAAAGCGUGGGGAGCAAACAGGAUUAGAUACCCCAGUAGUC